UGUGUAGGCGGGACUGCAAGUCAGAUGUGAAAUUCCAGGGCUUAACCUUGGGGCUGCAUUUGAUACGUGUAGACUAGAGUGUGAGAGAGGGUUGUGGAAUUCCCAGUGUAGAGGUGAAAUUCGUAGAUAUUGGGAAGAACACCGGUGGCGAAGGCGGCAACCUGGCUCAUUACUGACGCUGAGGCGCGAAAGCGUGGGGAGCAAACAGGAUUAGAUACCCUCGUA
Molecule: ribosomal RNA, 225 nt
Filed under: uncultured Asaia sp.
Lineage: Bacteria; Pseudomonadati; Pseudomonadota; Alphaproteobacteria; Acetobacterales; Acetobacteraceae
Description: partial 16S ribosomal RNA
Rfam family: Bacterial small subunit ribosomal RNA
Source: RNAcentral